Molecule: ribosomal RNA, 745 nt
Filed under: Spirinia parasitifera
Lineage: Eukaryota; Metazoa; Nematoda; Chromadorea; Desmodorida; Desmodoridae
Description: eukaryotic LSU rRNA
Rfam family: Eukaryotic large subunit ribosomal RNA
Source: RNAcentral
CAAAGAACUUUGAAGAGAGAGUUCAAGAGGGCGUGAAACCGCUUAGAAGCAAACAGAUGGACCUGAUGAAGAGUCAGUGGUAUUCAACCCACUGUGUCACCUCAACCCAUUGCCAGAUUGACCAACUGGUUUUUGGGACCUGGUGUGGCCAGUAGGUGCAUUUGUCACUGAUGAACAUCAGAACCUGUGCUUGUGCUGGAAGUAGGUGUCGAUUGCCGGCCGACUCGUUGGUGUCCCAUCGAUUCUGAAACCGGGUUACUUGCACAGGAGCUGUAGUGGCACCCGCCUCUACUCAACAUUGUGGAAAGCCUUGCCAAUUGAACUGUAGUUUUAUGCUCGCAUGACUCCGCGAUGCCUGGUUUGGUGAUCUGCAGUGAUUGAGUUGGUGCUGUUUUCUGAUGUUUUAGUCAGUCACCCAUCUGACCCGUCUUGAAACACGGACCAAGGAGUCUAACAUGUGCGCAAGUCACUGGGUUGCAAAACCUAAGGGCACAAUGAGAGUGAAGUCUGGCUUUUGUCGGCUGACAUGGGAUCCCUCACCUCAGGUGGAGGAGCACCAUGGUCCCGUUCAUGCUGCAUUGUCAGCAGGGCGGAGAUAGAGCGUACACGUUGGGACCCGAAAGAUGGUGAACUAUGCCUGAGCAGGAUGAAGCCAGAGGAAACUCUGGUGGAAGUCCAUAGCGAUUCUGACGUGCAAAUCGAUCGUCGGACUUGGGUAUAGGGGCGAAAGACUAAUCGAACCAUC